Long non-coding RNA from Epinephelus fuscoguttatus (brown-marbled grouper), 1162 nucleotides. RefSeq lists it as uncharacterized. The record is from RefSeq and is a predicted model, not a curated record. The transcript is spliced from 2 exons. Lineage: Eukaryota; Metazoa; Chordata; Actinopteri; Perciformes; Serranidae.
AGUUUUUUGACCUGAUAACCUACGUGGAGGAACUGCUCCAUACUUUCCUCCUCUAAGAGAAGACACCCAGUGAAGACAGACGAUGGAGAUCCAUCUUAAUCGAGUGGAUUAUAUUCAAGUAACACCAAGUACAGACGGUGGAAGAUGUGCCUCAGCAGUAUCGCCUUCAUCAGCCGCCUCGCCCCCACAGGUGUCUGAUCACACUACCUGAAAGAUUUGUUUUCUUUAUGUUUUGUUUUUUCCACCAUUUAGGAUGUGACUCAAACUUUGAUGGGGACAGAUAUUGCCAUCAACCGAAGGAACUGUUUAUUGAAUGUCAGCUUUACAGCCUGUGCUCCGGCUUCUCCGUAUGUUUGAGUACAGGUGAAGAGCAGCCAGUAAUGCACUGAAGUCUCAUGGUGAUAUUUGUUUUCCCAUCUUCUUAAUGUGAAGCGGUGGACACCCCUCACUUUGUCCCGUUCACUGAACGCAGCACAGUAGACAUCAACUGUGAUCUGUAUGUAUCGGCUGUUAUUAUUUUUUCCUCAUAUGUCCUUAUUUAUUCAUGAAAAUCUCUUAUUCUGUGAUGAAACAUUAACAUUUUGAGAUUAGUAACUUAAAUUAAAAUCUGCUUAUACAUGAUUAAUAAUAUUCUUUUUUUUAAUGAUCAUGUUGUGCUUGGGUGGAUGGAGGAUGGGGUUUGUUCACAGUUUCUACGUGGUCCAAUUUAUUUUUUAUGUUCGACACAUCUGAUGCUCUUAUUUGUCUAAAUGCCUAACUUUAAAUGUAUCUAUCAAUGCCAUCAACCCGUUCUUUUAACAACUUGCAAAGUCUAUGUAGGUAUGAUGUCAAAAUGGGUGUUGAAAUGAGAAACAAGAAAUCUGCUGUAUUUUAUAGACUAUUUUAAGGUACCAGACAUUUUGCUGUAGAAUUCAUAUUUGAAAUGAGUUGCACAAUGCCUGUCACGUUUCUGAAUGCACCCUCACCUUGUUUCUCAGUUUGAAAGCUGUUUUGAAUUUGGCCUCAUUUAUUUGUUGCGAUGUAGUUUUUCUUGCUUGAUGCAUGCUCUGAUUUUUUUUCCUGCCAUGUUUAAUGUGUUUAUUUGCCUCCAGACAAACCACAUUUUUAUGACAAGAAUAAAAUGAUCUCUUAAUGAAACCAAUAAAAUAUUAAAGAACAGGAA